UACGUAGGGAGCAAGCGUUGUCCGGAAUCAUUGGGCGUAAAGCGCGCGUAGGCGGCCCUGUAAGUCCGUUGUGAAAGUCAAAGGCUCAACCUUUGAAAGCCGAUGGAUACUGCAGGGCUAGAGUCCGGAAGAGGCGAGUGGAAUUCCUGGUGUAGCGGUGGAAUGCGCAGAUAUCAGGAGGAACACCAAUAGCGAAGGCAGCUCGCUGGGACGGUACUGACGCUGAGGCG
This 230-nucleotide ribosomal RNA is filed under the name uncultured bacterium. RNAcentral describes it as "partial 16S ribosomal RNA". It matches the Rfam family "Bacterial small subunit ribosomal RNA", at positions 524 to 753 of the family's 1533-position model. The record is from RNAcentral.